CAGUAGCCGCGGUAAUGCGUAGGUGGCAAGCGUUGUCCGGAAUUAUUGGGCGUAAAGGGCUCGCAGGCGGUUUCUUAAGUCUGAUGUGAAAGCCCCCGGCUCAACCGGGGAGGGUCAUUGGAAACUGGGAAACUUGAGUGCAGAAGAGGAGAGUGGAAUUCCACGUGUAGCGGUGAAAUGCGUAGAGAUGUGGAGGAACACCAGUGGCGAAGGCGACUCUCCGGUCUGUAACUGACGCUGAGGAGCGGAAGCGUGGGGAGCGAACAGGAUUAGAUACCCGCGUAGUCCCUGUCUCUUAUAC
Molecule: ribosomal RNA, 301 nt
Filed under: uncultured bacterium
Lineage: Bacteria
Description: partial 16S ribosomal RNA
Rfam family: Bacterial small subunit ribosomal RNA
Source: RNAcentral